This is a non-coding RNA of Monodelphis domestica (gray short-tailed opossum), 1080 nucleotides long. The record is from RefSeq and is a predicted model, not a curated record. NCBI's taxonomy places the organism in Eukaryota, Metazoa, Chordata, Mammalia, Didelphimorphia, Didelphidae.
GAGACUGGAUCCAAUUCAGCCUCACCCCUCCCUUACUUUCUCCCUUGCUACAUCCCCAUCUCAUUUAAGUGAGGGCCAAGCUGGGGUGGAGCUGAGUUGUCUCUCCAGUUGGUGGAGUGGAGAGACGCUUCUGAGAACCGGAGGAUCUUCACCCAGGAGGAGGUUCCACAUUACCCCGCAGCAACUCAAGGAGAAGGUGAUUUGACACUUCUAAAUGGAUUGGAACUCAGCUCCGAUGGCCUGCCUUCUGUUGUUUGGUUUCUUGGCAGUUUUGGUGUCAUCCCGACAUCAUCCAAAUGAAUUCAGGGCUCACAACCAGCCCAAGCUAUCUCUCUUGGAUCGCUUGGGCUUGCCUGAGCCUUCCUCAGAGGACAAUGUGAAGGGACUCUCCUCCUGGACAGCUGUGGGUACAGGGACAUCCACACCCCCACAAUUAAUAUCUGGACUCUCCUCUAAAUCAAGAGUUCAAAGACCAGAUACUAUGGGGGUUUUAGCUAGUCUGAGCUCCGAAUCUGGCCAACUCUCUCCAGCUGUGCCUCUGGUCUGGUCCUCUAGCUCAGACCACCCUUCCCUCUUCAGGUCCCCUGGAACCUCCAGUUCAGCCACCUCAGAAUCGGCCCCAUCUGGAGUAGUGGAGCUUGCUGUCACCAAAAUGGCACCCAAAUCUAGAACCUCAUCCAUUGCCGUUGCCUCUGCGUCUGGGCCUGUGGCACAGAUAUCCACAAUUAAAUCUUCUUCACCCUCAUCUCUUGAGUCAAGGCAGUCAGCUGAUGGUUUCAUGUCCAAUGAGACCUCCAGGACUGAAAGAUAUGCCAACCCUGUGACAUUCUUGGCUGACCUUGAUUCGUAUAGGUCUAAGGCUAACACAUCUAUAGCCCUAGGGGAGCCCACCACCUCUGAAUCUAACAUAUCUGGAUUGACCAGACAACCAGUUGGAACCUCACCUGCACUUACCAUCAUAGCUGCUUCUCCUGCUGAGACCAAAGAUCCCACACCAGCUCAGGCAGCCACCACACAGCAAAGGCAGCCUCCAAUGGAAGGACCAGUGAUGGUAUGGUCUCCCCCUACUCUGAGUUCUGA